Molecule: ribosomal RNA, 209 nt
Filed under: uncultured Streptococcus sp.
Lineage: Bacteria; Bacillati; Bacillota; Bacilli; Lactobacillales; Streptococcaceae
Description: partial 16S ribosomal RNA
Rfam family: Bacterial small subunit ribosomal RNA
Source: RNAcentral
UGGGGAUGACGUCAAGUCAUCAUGCCCCUUAUGACCUGGGCUACACACGUGCUACAAUGGUUGGUACAACGAGUUGCGAGUCGGUGACGGCGAGCUAAUCUCUUAAAGCCAAUCUCAGUUCGGAUUGUAGGCUGCAACUCGCCUACAUGAAGUCGGAAUCGCUAGUAAUCGCGGAUCAGCACGCCGCGGUGAAUACGUUCCCGGGCCUU